RNAcentral lists this ribosomal RNA (547 nucleotides) under Rhodovulum salis. RNAcentral describes it as "bacterial SSU rRNA". It matches the Rfam family "Bacterial small subunit ribosomal RNA", at positions 97 to 679 of the family's 1533-position model. The record is from RNAcentral. Lineage: Bacteria; Pseudomonadati; Pseudomonadota; Alphaproteobacteria; Rhodobacterales; Paracoccaceae.
GGCGGACGGGUGAGUAACGCGUGGCAAUGUGCCCUUCUGUGCGGAAUAGUCCCGGGAAACUGGGUUUAAUACCGCAUACGCCCUUCGGGGGAAAGAUUUAUCGCAGAGGGAUCGGCCCGCGUCUGAUUAGGUAGUUGGUGGGGUAAUGGCCUACCAAGCCUACGAUCAGUAGCUGGUUUGAGAGGAUGAUCAGCCACACUGGGACUGAGACACGGCCCAGACUCCUACGGGAGGCAGCAGUGAGGAAUCUUGGACAAUGGGGGAAACCCUGAUCCAGCCAUGCCGCGUGAGCGAUGAAGGCCUUAGGGUUGUAAAGCUCUUUCAGUCGUGAAGAUAAUGACGGUAGCGACAGAAGAAGCCCCGGCUAACUCCGUGCCAGCAGCCGCGGUAAUACGGAGGGGGCUAGCGUUGUUCGGAAUUACUGGGCGUAAAGCGCACGUAGGCGUACUAUUAAGUCGGGGGUGAAAUCCCGGGGCUCAACCCCGGAACUGCCUUCGAUACUGGUAGUCUGGAGUUCGAGAGAGGUGAGUGGAAUUCCGAGUGUAGA